UACAUGGGGUGCAAACGUUGCUCGGAAUUACUGGGCGUAAAGGGCGCGUAGGCGGCAUGGCAAGUCAGGAGUGAAAGGCCUGGGCUCAACCGAGGAACUGCUUUUGAUACUGCCAAGCUAGAGUGCGGAAGGGGCAACUGGAAUUCCCAGUGUAGCGGUGAAAUGCGUAGAUAUUGGGAGGAACACCAGUGGCGAAGGCGGCUCACUGGACCGGUACUGACGCUGAUGCGCGAAAGCGUGGGGAGCAAACGGG
Molecule: ribosomal RNA, 253 nt
Filed under: uncultured bacterium
Lineage: Bacteria
Description: partial 16S ribosomal RNA
Rfam family: Bacterial small subunit ribosomal RNA
Source: RNAcentral